Non-coding RNA from Mycena metata, 92 nucleotides. Lineage: Eukaryota; Fungi; Basidiomycota; Agaricomycetes; Agaricales; Mycenaceae. The record is from the annotation of a GenBank genome assembly.
GCCCCCGCAGCUCAAUGGCCAGAGCCUCCUCUCGUCCUAGCUGGUUCAAGAUUUUGCAGAGGAAGACGUGGGUUCGACUCCCACCGAGGGCA